RNAcentral lists this ribosomal RNA (691 nucleotides) under Escherichia coli. RNAcentral's name for it is "partial 23S ribosomal RNA". It matches the Rfam family "Bacterial large subunit ribosomal RNA", at positions 1200 to 1875 of the family's 2925-position model. Lineage: Bacteria; Pseudomonadati; Pseudomonadota; Gammaproteobacteria; Enterobacterales; Enterobacteriaceae. The record is from RNAcentral.
CUGCGGCAGCGACACUAUGUGUUGUUGGGUAGGGGAGCGUUCUGUAAGCCUGUGAAGGUGGCCUGUGAGGGUUGCUGGAGGUAUCAGAAGUGCGAAUGCUGACAUAAGUAACGAUAAAGCGGGUGAAAAGCCCGCUCGCCGGAAGACCAAGGGUUCCUGUCCAACGUUAAUCGGGGCAGGGUGAGUCGACCCCUAAGGCGAGGCCGAAAGGCGUAGUCGAUGGGAAACAGGUUAAUAUUCCUGUACUUGGUGUUACUGCGAAGGGGGGACGGAGAAGGCUAUGUUGGCCGGGCGACGGUUGUCCCGGUUUAAGCGUGUAGGCUGGUUUUCCAGGCAAAUCCGGAAAACCAAGGCUGAGGCGUGAUGACGAGGCACUACGGUGCUGAAGCGACAAAUGCCCUGCUUCCAGGAAAAGCCUCUAAGCAUCAGGUAACAUCAAAUCGUACCCCAAACCGACACAGGUGGUCAGGUAGAGAAUACCAAGGCGCUUGAGAGAACUCGGGUGAAGGAACUAGGCAAAAUGGUGCCGUAACUUCGGGAGAAGGCACGCUGAUAUGUAGGUGAAGCGACUUGCUCGUGGAGCUGAAAUCAGUCGAAGAUACCAGCUGGCUGCAACUGUUUAUUAAAAACACAGCACUGUGCAAACACGAAAGUGGACGUAUACGGUGUGACGCCUGCCCGGUGCCGGAAG